RNAcentral lists this ribosomal RNA (254 nucleotides) under uncultured bacterium. RNAcentral describes it as "partial 16S ribosomal RNA". It matches the Rfam family "Bacterial small subunit ribosomal RNA", at positions 524 to 776 of the family's 1533-position model. The record is from RNAcentral.
UACGUAGGGGCCUAGCGUUGUCCGGAAUUAUUGGGCGUAAAGAGCUCGUAGGCGGUUCGGCAAGUCGGAUGUGAAAUCUCCACGCUUAACGUGGAGGGGCCAUUCGAAACUGCUGUGACUCGAGUCCGGUAGGGGAGUGUGGAAUUCCCGGUGUAGCGGUGAAAUGCGCAGAUAUCGGGAGGAACACCAGUAGCGAAGGCGACACACUGGCCCAUUACUGACGCUGAGGCUCGAAAGCGUGGGGAGCAAACAGG